UUGUAGUCUGCAACCCGACUACAUGAAGCUGGAAUCGCUAGUAAUCGCAGAUCAGAAUGCUGCGGUGAAUACGUUCCCGGGUCUUGUACACACCGCCCGUCACACCAUGGGAGUCGGGAAUGCCCGAAGUCAGUGACCCAACCGCAAGGAGGGAGCUGCCGAAGGCAGGCUCGAUAACUGGGGUGAAGUCGUAACAAGGUACC
This 203-nucleotide ribosomal RNA is filed under the name uncultured bacterium. RNAcentral's name for it is "partial 16S ribosomal RNA". It matches the Rfam family "Bacterial small subunit ribosomal RNA", at positions 1298 to 1500 of the family's 1533-position model. The record is from RNAcentral.